UGUAGGGCACGAUGCAACAAAACCAUCAACAUCUUAUUUGCUUGGCUAUUACUUGGGUCAAAAACAAUGUCACCCCAAAAUACAAAAAUGACCGAGCUUCAUAUUUCAAACGUAUUUUUUAGGAUAUCUCACCGAAAAAAUUGAAUUUAGUACAAAAACUCUUAGCUAAACAAUUUGCUUCUCCUGCAACACAAAAUGAAAGAUUUGUACAAGUGUUGGAGAAUUUCUUUGUUGAUUGUAUUGUGGACGACAUUAUUGCUGGGUAUUAUGUUGAUGCCUCACAUUGCGGAAUCUGCGAGAUUUCCCCGACGAGUGGCUCUCAUUCUUCGUUCCCAAGAUUGCCCAAUGAAGGGCUGCAAUUUAGUUGGAGUUGGCCCCAGUGAACCAUGAUCAUAAGCAGAUUUGAGAAGCAUGCAUUGCAUCAGAAAGCAGUGGAGCAAAAUUUUAUCUCCAUUGAAAGCGAAACCCAUUUGUGUUCACCAAUGUUAUUUACAUGUCGUCGCUUGCUUGUAAAUCAAUGAAUUUCUUCAGGAUAAUUUACUUUUACAACAAAAAAUGCUGCAUAACAUUUUCAUUUCAGGGUUACGUAUGGUUUCUGAUAGUAAUCAUAUAUGAACAAUGAUUUCUGAGAACCAAA
Beta vulgaris subsp. vulgaris (sugar beet) is the source of this 637-nucleotide long non-coding RNA. RefSeq lists it as uncharacterized. The transcript is spliced from 2 exons. NCBI's taxonomy places the organism in Eukaryota, Viridiplantae, Streptophyta, Magnoliopsida, Caryophyllales, Amaranthaceae. The record is from RefSeq and is a predicted model, not a curated record.